Molecule: ribosomal RNA, 451 nt
Filed under: uncultured bacterium
Lineage: Bacteria
Description: bacterial SSU rRNA
Rfam family: Bacterial small subunit ribosomal RNA
Source: RNAcentral
AGAGUUUGAUCCUGGCUCAGAUUGAACGCUGGCGGCAUGCUUUACACAUGCAAGUCGAACGGCAGCACGGGCUUCGGCCUGGUGGCGAGUGGCGAACGGGUGAGUAAUGCGUCGGAACGCGCCGAGUAGUGGGGGAUAACGCAGCGAAAGCUGUGCUAAUACCGCAUACGUACUGAGGUAGAAAGUGGGGGACCUUCGGGCCUCACGCUAUUCGAGCGGCCGACGUCUGAUUAGCUAGUUGGUGGGGUAAAGGCUCACCAAGGCGACGAUCAGUAGCGGGUCUGAGAGGAUGAUCCGCCACACUGGGACUGAGACACGGCCCAGACUCCUACGGGAGGCAGCAGUGGGGAAUUUUGGACAAUGGGCGCAAGCCUGAUCAAGCCAUGCCGCGUGUCUGAAGAAGGCCUUCGGGUUGUAAAGGACUUUUGUCCGGGAGCAAAGCCUACUUGUU